This 380-nucleotide unclassified non-coding RNA is filed under the name uncultured Gemmatimonadaceae bacterium. RNAcentral describes it as "contains 16S-23S intergenic spacer region". The record is from RNAcentral. Lineage: Bacteria; Pseudomonadati; Gemmatimonadota; Gemmatimonadia; Gemmatimonadales; Gemmatimonadaceae.
UCCCCGUUAACCGGGGCAGUCCCCCUAGAGUUCCCGGCAUGACCCGUUGGCAACUAGGGGCGAGGGUUGCGCUCGUUGCGGGACUUAACCCAACACCUCACGACACGAGCUGACGACAGCCAUGCACCACCUGUGCACUGGUCCCGAAGGAGGGCCGAUGUUUCCACCGGCUUGCACGUGCAUGCCAAGCCCAGGUAAGGUUCUUCGCGUUGCUUCGAAUUAAACCACAUGCUCCACCGCUUGUGCGGGCCCCCGUCAAUUCCUUUGAGUUUCAGCCUUGCGGCCGUACUCCCCAGGCGGGACACUUACUGCGUUAGCGACGGCACCGAGGGGGUCGCUCCCCCCGACGCCUAGUGUCCAUCGUUUACGGCGUGGACUAC